GUCAUGAUUAUUUAUUCUUGGGUGUCCUUACAAAGGAAACUACCUCAAGAAAUCCUUUUCCGCUUUUUCUGCACUAAGGAUAAAUAAUAGUCCAAGACCUGAUCUCGGAAGAACCCCCCUCCAUCCCGUCUUAUUUCUUGUCAGUAGUGCACGUUCCAGUUCCCGUUCGGCAAGUGAGUAAUUCUUUCUCGUGUCCUUUUGAGAUCAGAGUGGCCUUACAGACGAACUAAGAGUAAUCUCAUCAACAACAUAUAAGAGAGAAAAGAGAGAUUCAUACAUGGAUUUCGUUGAAGGAGCUCCUUCAUCUACAGUUGAUAUUCCAGAAUUUUUAAAAUCCUUCCCGAAGCUGUCUACCUCUGAUUCAUCUGCCAAUCUUGAUUCUUUACCUAAUGGUGCUAAAGUUGUAGCCACUGAAAGUCUUGCUAGAAAAACAUCUUCUUCUCAUUACACGUUAGCGGACAUGUUAAAAAGAUCAGACGUUACUUCACGAUGGGAGGAUGGUCGUGUUGUGAACGAGUAUCGCAGAAUUAUUCGGGAUAUUAUUGAGGUACUGUUCCAAUUGGAGUUGAAAGAUAUACGUUCUGGCUACUUGAACGAUGAUGACAUAGUCAUUAUUCAUGGUCGAGCAAAGAUCCCCUAUUUUGCGAAACCUUGUAUUGAAACUAAAUUGUCAAGCUAUAGACAAGAAUUCAAAUCUUUGGUUUCAAGAAUAAUCGGGGAGAAUGCUGCAAUAGUGGAGUUAGUGCACUUCUAUGGCACGAUAGACAACCUUGGGAUGACUUUUAACGACUUAUGGUAUCAUCCUCUGCUCCAAUCAUCUAAUGAGAGAUAUUUUUUCCCUCUUGACGCCUGGUUGCAUCUUCAAUAUGAGAGAAGACUUACAUGGAGAAAUAUGUAUCAAAAUGUGGCGAAUAAUGAUAUUGACAUCAACACAAUCGUUGGAAAAUCUAACUAUAAGGCUUUUAAGUCCGUUCUUUUGAAAAAAACCAAAAAGGAAGGUGCAUAUAAGAAUAAUGCCUUGGGAGUGUUUGAUUACUCAAGAUACAUACUCGAGAAUGUCAAUAAAAAUGUGGACAAGGACAAUGAAAGAAUUUCGACCAAGCAUGAAGUGGAAGAAGAGCUUACUUCGUUGUUCCCCACACGGCUAAUAGAUUUAUAUGAGUUCUUGUAUUACAUGGGCAUUAGCAUGGACUCCUUAGGGCUACGAAGAUCAUAUUGCUUAGACUCUAAUUGGAUUUAGACCAAGCUCCUACUCCAUUAUGAGUCGGAAAUAAAAAAUCGCACAUCUCAAUCCGCAAAUCGUAACUCAUAAAAUACUAUUUGGAUUCUGGAAAUCGCAAUAGAAAUCUCAGUCGCAAUCUUCAUUGCAGUCUCAAUCUCUUACCAAGAUUCACAAAUCGCAAGCUCUGAUCAAAAUUCAAGAAUUGCACAAGAUCAAUGUAGACGCAGAACUUUGAUCAUGAACACAGUUGCCCAACCUUCACGAGCCAAAAGCCAAAGAACUUGAUCAUGAUUGAUGUAGACGACGAACUUUGAUCAUGAAUAUGAUCCUAGCUUAAUGGAGCCGAUUGCAUGUUGCAGCAUUUACAUUGCUUUUGCAUAAGCUAGUUUUUUCUAACUCAAGUUUUUUGUACCAAGCCUCGAGUUUCACAUGAUAAGCUCUUUGUGAAUGUUGGUUCGUAAUCAUGCUAUCCUUUUAUCCCAUGCCACUAUUAUCUGUGCUUUAUAACAUUUUGGAGCUUUGAUCCCCUGUCUGGUAUGAUUGACUGGUCAUAUCUACUAGUUAGUUGUCGUUCGGGUUUUAUGUUGCUCAGGUUGUAGGUUAUUUGCUUUGACAUUGUUACUUUUGCCAUAUUUUGGACCAAAUUAAUGCUUUUGGUUAUCUGAUUAAUGUGCCUUGGAUUGUUUUCUAUUUGAUA
Prunus persica (peach) is the source of this 1919-nucleotide RNA transcript. RefSeq lists it as uncharacterized. Lineage: Eukaryota; Viridiplantae; Streptophyta; Magnoliopsida; Rosales; Rosaceae. The record is from RefSeq and is a predicted model, not a curated record. The transcript has 7 exons.